UACAGAGGGUGCGAGCGUUAAUCGGAAUUACUGGGCGUAAAGCGUGCGUAGACGGUCAAGUAAGUCGGGUGUGAAAGCCCCGGGCUCAACCUGGGAAUUGCAUUCGAGACUGCGUGGCUAGGGUGCGGAAGAGGGAAGCGGAAUUUCCGGUGUAGCGGUGAAAUGCGUAGAUAUCAGGAGGAACACCGAUGGCGAAGGCAGGUCUCUGGGCUGACACUGACGCUCAUGCACGAAAGCGUGGGGAGCAAACAGG
Molecule: ribosomal RNA, 253 nt
Filed under: uncultured bacterium
Lineage: Bacteria
Description: partial 16S ribosomal RNA
Rfam family: Bacterial small subunit ribosomal RNA
Source: RNAcentral